CAGGCAAUCCUCCCCAGAAAUGCCUCCUCAGAGCAGCUGAGUUGGAGAGAGUUAAUCCAUGGCCACUUUCUUGAUAAGAAGCCAACAUACGAUCCUGUGAGGUGAUUUGUUAGCAACAUCACAUUUUUGUUCUGUUAAAAUUUACUUUACCCUUUUAAAAUGGAAGUAUAUCUGUAAGACGGACAAGCAUGGAACACAGCUUUCUCAUUAUCUCUAGUUCUGCGUUCCAAUAAGAUUCUGGGGAAAAGCUGUAUUCUACCUGGAAUCUCUCAGGUUUCUUUCUAGGCUAGAUAGAGGAGUGCUGGCUAUUUUGAGGAGAGGGCUUUCUUUUUCUUUUUUUUUAACUGGCACAAAAAUCACAUCCUCUUUCUUAUGCAAUGGGACAAAUAUGAGUAUGUCAAAGAUCACAUCUUCUCUGUGAUCUGAAGUUGUCCUCCUGAAAAUAAGGAAUAUGGUAGGGGAAAAAAGUCUAUGUAAGCCCCAGACCUCAGUUUCAUGACCUCGUCAUCCCUAAGUAUUGCUGGGACUCCACUUCAGUCCCUCACUCCCACGACCAGAUUCUGUCCUGGUGACCACGGAGGAAGGAUGCUCCAGGGACAGGAUCUAAGCACAGCCUCCUCUCCUGACAAGCCACCUGGUCCAUUACUGCCCACAGCCUCAAGCUUCUCCUUCAUCAGGAUCUCAGAUAAGACUUAAGUCCAAGAUCACACAGUCAAUAAGUGGUGGAGAUAAAACUUGAACCCCAUCAGGUCAAAAGAAGCAAACUCGUGUCUAACGUAGCAAGCAGACGCUUGUCAUAAAAAGAUCAAGACGCCCUGUUGAAAACGUUAGAGCCGCUCCCAGGGACUGCGCCCCCUGUGGGGACAUUGAGCAUUGCACGUUAGCAGAAAGCAGCUGGAGGCUCCACUCUGGGCGGGGUACUUGCCAGUGUAGACAUAGACCUCCCACUUUAAGCAUAAACCUGAAGUUUCUUUAUUGGUUUGAAAUACACUGGGCCUUGACUGGUCAAAGAGGUGAGCAGAUAUAUACGAGGCCGUGUUAAACUUUCAUCAGCAGCAUGAUUUCUACCAUGUGCAUGCAUUCACAAAGUUCUACUUUAAAGAUCUUAAAUUCCGCAGUUUCUUUACCUGGGCUGGAUGUGGCCUUUGUAGAUGGUCCUUUUCUUUCUGCCUUGGCUUGCAGCGCCCCCACCUCUAAACGUUUCCCCAGAACUGGAGAGUGAAAAGUGCCUUUGUAAGGUGCUCAGGUGUGAGAAUGGCUGCCCCAGGUAUGUAUUUUGACAGCAGAGAAAGCUUGCUGUGGGUCAGUCCCCGCAUCCCACGAGCCCCGUCCCCUGGGCCCUGGAUGUCUGCGGCCCGCAGGGUCCUCAGACUGCAGUGUCCUCAAACCUCACUGUCCUCAGACCGCAGUCCACAGGGUCCUCAGGCCCCACUGUCCUCAGGCCUCAGUGUCCUCAGGCCACAGGGUCCUCAGACUCAGGCCUUGCCCACCCAGCUCACAAGGCUAGUUCCCUCCAGGAGAGGAGGCCCCUCUGGAUGAGAUUUGGGAAAUGUCAAAUGAACCUCAGGCUCUGGGGCUUUGUCUCUGCUGUAGUCAUUUCAGUCAAAGAGCACACUCGUCGCCCAAUUUAUUUUCAAUAUUACAACCUUACCGACUGCCAUUUUGAUAAAAGAUUUCAGCUGAAUCAACCUUUACAGGUAAUAACUUCACCAGAUAAAGUUGACUCAUUUUUUGUAUAAAGUUCAAUUGUCAAAUUCCAUUGCAGCAUUGAGAUUUUCAAAUAGACAUUUUUUAAUGGUCUCCUGGUUGUUUUUCCUCUUAUCUUUUGUAAAAUUAUCUUGCAAGGAAUUGGAAAGACCCGAGGAAUGACUGUAGGCAAAGCCAGUUUUGCUGUGUGGAAGGGUUCAACAGUGGCAGGGGUCUGGCUGCCCCAUGUCCCAGGCCUGUCACUAAUCCUUGGGCUUCUGGGUUGAAUGACACACAGGGGGAAUGUGUUACUUCGCACCAUGGAUAACCAACAUCACUUGGAAGUCAGGUAGUAGAAACAUACCUGUUUCUAAUGGUGUUUGUUACCAUAACUGUGUAAAGAGGGAAACCCCAUAGUCUCAACCAAGGUGGGCUUAUGCAAACCCAAUAUCCUGAAA
RNAcentral lists this long non-coding RNA (2144 nucleotides) under Equus caballus (horse). RNAcentral describes it as "lncRNA (ENSECAG00000047743.1)". The record is from RNAcentral. Lineage: Eukaryota; Metazoa; Chordata; Mammalia; Perissodactyla; Equidae.